GGCCCGCCGUCCUCCAUGGGCGGGGGAGGGAAGCAGGUGGAUGAUCCGACUCCAGCCGUCAAGGCCCCCUGACCUGUCCUGCCCUCCUCUUGCCGUGACUUACGCUUGGAAAGGAACUAGCAUUUCUGGUUGGGCGUGUUUUAUUUAUAGUGCAAGAACAUCUACCGCAUUCCCCACAAAGUGGGCCGAUGUAGCUACCAGCCUCCCGGGCCAGCCGGAGCCCAUCAGCAGGUCCCACGGAGCAGGAGCCCCCCUGUCGCGAGCCGUUCACAGCCCGGGACCAGAAAGGACGGGGACGCCCGCAGCCGAGAUGGGUGUUUAUGCGGAUGGGCUCAGGCACCAGGGGCACCUCGCUCUCUGCGAGUUUCCUCCAACCACGUCUCGCGUUCAGGUGCCCGGAAAGUGCAGGUUAUUUCUGCCUGGACGUUGGCGGGAACCAGCCUGUGGGCAGAUCCAUCCAGUGGAGACUUUUGUAAAGGCACACCUUCCUGAGACCAUCGGACAGAUGCAGCUUCAGGAUACCUGUGACUCACAACCGAAGGUGAGGCGGGUUCUGCACAUCACCACCGCCCAGAACCUCUGAAGUGUCAGGUCUCCUGAACUCAGGGGCGCAGAAAACCCCUACCACGCAGGAGUGCCAGGACCCCAGCCUUCUCUCCUCGGGAGUUACUGUGAUGGAAAAAAACACGCAACCUAGAAGUUGGGAGAUGUGUGUUAUUCAGCAGACAAAACCGAGGACUUAAGCCGGGACACAGGGGGUCAGAGAAUUCUGAGAAACUGCAUCAAAGAGGCCAGGAGUCUUUGCCACAAAGACCAGGCGAAAGAACAUCAAAGAUGGCUGUUGACUGAAGAAAACCAGACGUCCCAAAUGAGGGAGCCGAGCACCCUUCUAGGCCUGGGGACAUGCCAGAGGCUGGGGCGUGGAAGCCAGGCCUUCACUGUGCACCUCAGCUCCCUGAGUGUCCUGAGUUUUCUCACUCCGAGUUUCCUUAGGCUGCACCUUCGGGGGCGGGGGGUUGGCUGCAGGGCGGGCUCGUCUCCUCCCUGAGUUCCCCGGGGGCCCGUCCCUCCUCCGCUCCGGGUGGGAGGCUGGGAUGUGUGGGCUUGACGGUGGCAGCCUCCUCUGUUUACCGAUACGGCAGCAGCCUGGUUCACUCCCAUUGCUGACUCCCCAGGCACGGCUUUCUCACUGGUGUCACGGGCAGUGGUGGGUCUACUUGACCAGUGACCCGUGGACAGGCCCCUAAACCACGCCUGGCCCAGUGUGCAAAUGGCUGAACCCAACUCUCAGACCUGCCCAACUUUUUGGCUUUCCUUUUUUCCAAAUUUCAGGGCACCUUUCUUUUUUAAUUUUUUUGGGUCUUUUUAGGAUUGCACUCUCGGCAUAUGAAGGUUCCCAGGCUAAGGGUCGAAUUGGAGCUACAGCUGCCGACCAACACCACAGCCACAGCCACAUCCACGCCAGAUCUGAGCCGCCUCUUCGACCUACACCACAGCUCCCGGCAAUGCCAGGUCCUUAACCACCGAGCAAGGCCAGGGGUGGAACCUGCGACCUCACGGAUGCUCGUCAGACUCAUGUCCGCUGUGCCGU
This 1591-nucleotide long non-coding RNA is filed under the name Sus scrofa (pig). RNAcentral's name for it is "lncRNA (ENSSSCG00025073365.1)". The record is from RNAcentral. Lineage: Eukaryota; Metazoa; Chordata; Mammalia; Artiodactyla; Suidae.